RNAcentral lists this ribosomal RNA (450 nucleotides) under uncultured bacterium. RNAcentral describes it as "partial 16S ribosomal RNA". It matches the Rfam family "Bacterial small subunit ribosomal RNA", at positions 354 to 796 of the family's 1533-position model. The record is from RNAcentral.
GUGGGGAAUCUUCCGCAAUGGACGAAAGUCUGACGGAGCAACGCCGCGUGAGUGAAGAAGGUUUUCGGAUCGUAAAGCUCUUUCGUUAGGGACGAACGUGCUCUUUGUGAAUAAUGAGGAGUAAUGACGGUACCUAAAUAAGAAGCCACGGCUAACUACGUGCCAGCAGCCGCGGUAAUACGUAGGUGGCAAGCGUUGUCCGGAAUUAUUGGGCGUAAAGUGCGCGCAGGCGGGAUAUCAAGUCUGUCUUAAAAGUGCGAGGCUCAACCUCGUGAGGGGACAGAAACUGGUAUUCUUGAGUGUCGGAGAGGAAAGUGGAAUUCCAAGUGUAGCGGUGAAAUGCGUAGAGAUUUGGAAGAACACCAGUGGCGAAGGCGACUUUCUGGACGAUGUCUGACGCUGAGGCGCGAAAGCUAGGGGAGCGAACGGGAUUAGAUACCCGUGUAGUCC